GACCCGCGUCUGAUUAGCUAGUUGGUAAGGUAACGGCUUACCAAGGCGACGAUCAGUAGCCGACCUGAGAGGGUGAUCGGCCACAUUGGAACUGAGACACGGUCCAAACUCCUACGGGAGGCAGCAGGGGGGAAUAUUGCACAAUGGGCGAAAGCCUGAUGCAGCAACGCCGCGUGAGUGAUGAAGGCCUUCGGGUCGUAAAACUCUGUCCUCAAGGAAGAUAAUGACGGUACUUGAGGAGGAAGCCCCGGCUAACUACGUGCCAGCAGCCGCGGUAAUACGUAGGGGGCUAGCGUUAUCCGGAUUUACUGGGCGUAAAGGGUGCGUAGGCGGUCUUUCAAGUCAGGAGUGAAAGGCUACGGCUCAACCGUAGUAAGCUCUUGAAACUGGGAGACUUGAGUGCAGGAGAGGAGAGUGGAAUUCCUAGUGUAGCGGUGAAAUGCGUAGAUAUUAGGAGGAACACCAGU
This 467-nucleotide ribosomal RNA is filed under the name Clostridioides difficile. Its description in RNAcentral is "bacterial SSU rRNA". It matches the Rfam family "Bacterial small subunit ribosomal RNA", at positions 228 to 713 of the family's 1533-position model. The record is from RNAcentral. Lineage: Bacteria; Bacillati; Bacillota; Clostridia; Peptostreptococcales; Peptostreptococcaceae.